GACGAACGCUGGCGGCGUGCUUAACACAUGCAAGUCGAACGGAAAGGCCCUGCUUGCAGGGUACUCGAGUGGCGAACGGGUGAGUAACACGUGGGUGAUCUGCCCUGCACUUCGGGAUAAGCCUGGGAAACUGGGUCUAAUACCGGAUAGGAGCCAUUUUUAGUGUGAUGGUUGGAAAGUUUUUUCGGUGUAGGAUGAGCUCGCGGCCUAUCAGCUUGUUGGUGGGGUAAUGGCCUACCAAGGCGGCGACGGGUAGCCGGCCUGAGAGGGUGGACGGCCACCAUGGGACUGAGGUUCGGCCCAGACUCCCACGGGAGGCAGCAAUGGGGAAAAUUGGAAAAUGGGGGCAAGCCUGAUGCAGCGACGCCGCGGGGGGGAUGACGGCCUUCGGGUUGGAAAACCCUUUCGCUAGGGACGAAGCUUUUUGUGACGGUACCUAGAGAAGAAGCACCGGCUAACUACGUG
RNAcentral lists this ribosomal RNA (465 nucleotides) under uncultured bacterium. RNAcentral's name for it is "partial 16S ribosomal RNA". It matches the Rfam family "Bacterial small subunit ribosomal RNA", at positions 28 to 507 of the family's 1533-position model. The record is from RNAcentral.